Molecule: microRNA precursor, 90 nt
Filed under: Canis lupus dingo (dingo)
Lineage: Eukaryota; Metazoa; Chordata; Mammalia; Carnivora; Canidae
Description: mir-8799 microRNA precursor family
Rfam family: mir-8799 microRNA precursor family
Source: Rfam by way of RNAcentral
CGGGGGAGGCCGGAUCCUGGGCUGUGUCCCCGGCGCCCUGUGCUCCAGGGCCUGCGCUGUUGGAUUCGCGCUCCCGCCCCACAGCCCCCU